Molecule: ribosomal RNA, 465 nt
Filed under: uncultured bacterium
Lineage: Bacteria
Description: partial 16S ribosomal RNA
Rfam family: Bacterial small subunit ribosomal RNA
Source: RNAcentral
CGAACGCUGGCGGCGUGCUUAACACAUGCAAGUCGAACGGAAAGGCCCUGCUUUUGUGGGGUGCUCGAGUGGCGAACGGGUGAGUAACACGUGAGUAACCUGCCCUUGACUUUGGGAUAACUUCAGGAAACUGGGGCUAAUACCGGAUAGGAGCUCCUGCUGCAUGGUGGGGGUUGGAAAGUUUCGGCGGUUGGGGAUGGACUCGCGGCUUAUCAGCUUGUUGGUGGGGUAGUGGCUUACCAAGGCUUUGACGGGUAGCCGGCCUGAGAGGGUGACCGGCCACAUUGGGACUGAGAUACGGCCCAGACUCCUACGGGAGGCAGCAGUGGGGAAUAUUGCACAAUGGGCGGAAGCCUGAUGCAGCAACGCCGCGUGCGGGAUGACGGCCUUCGGGUUGUAAACCGCUUUCGCCUGUGACGAAGCGUGAGGGACGGUAAUGGGUAAAGAAGCACCGGCUAACUACGU